GUGGUAAAUGUACAUUAUUUAACAUUUUUAUUGCACUUUUUAAUUAAUAACACAAAAGUAAGAUUUUCAGUUACUAAAAAAAAAUUUGCAAAUAUUAUAUAUUGAAACAAAAACAUAUUUUAUAGUGACACAUUUUUAAAAGUGGAUUAUGUACGAAUAGUAUACAUACAGUUGACCCGAAAAUGAGCAAUUACAUAAAACCCAACACUAUUUUUUUUUUAUAAUGACUAUAAUGAUGCUAAUGAAUAUAAGAACAGUAACCUAAAUUUUGCUCAUGUCAAAAUAUAAGAAAUGUACUUUCUAAAAUUGUUGUCCUUUCACUUUACCAUUUAUGCUUUUUAUCAAAAUUAUUAUUA
Molecule: non-coding RNA, 356 nt
Organism: Biomphalaria pfeifferi
Lineage: Eukaryota; Metazoa; Mollusca; Gastropoda; Planorbidae
Source: the annotation of a GenBank genome assembly